This is a small nucleolar RNA of Pangasianodon hypophthalmus (striped catfish), 132 nucleotides long. The record is from RefSeq and is a predicted model, not a curated record. NCBI's taxonomy places the organism in Eukaryota, Metazoa, Chordata, Actinopteri, Siluriformes, Pangasiidae.
GACCAAAGUGUUGAGUUCAGUUCUGGGCUCCUUCCCCAGUCCUGGUAAUUAAUCUUUGGUACAUCAGAUGGCUGAAGAUGAGCAUUUGAGAAGUUGCACUUGUGGUGCUGCUUUACAUCUUCACCAACAGGC